RNAcentral lists this ribosomal RNA (445 nucleotides) under uncultured bacterium. RNAcentral's name for it is "partial 16S ribosomal RNA". It matches the Rfam family "Bacterial small subunit ribosomal RNA", at positions 354 to 796 of the family's 1533-position model. The record is from RNAcentral.
GUGAGGAAUAUUGGUCAAUGGGCGAGAGCCUGAACCAGCCAAGUCGCGUGAAGGAAGAAGGAUCUAUGGUUCGUAAACUUCUUUUGCAGGGGAAUAAAGUGCAGGACGUGUCCUGUUUUGUAUGUACCCUGAGAAUAAGGAUCGGCUAACUCCGUGCCAGCAGCCACGGUAAUACGGAGGAUCCGAGCGUUAUCCGGAUUUAUUGGGUUUAAAGGGUGCGUAGGUGGUUUGAUAAGUCAGCGGGGAAAGUUUGCAGCUUAACUGUAAAAAUGCCGUUGAAACUGUCGGACUUGAGUGUAAAUGAGGUAGGCGGAAUGCGUGGUGUAGCGGUGAAAUGCAUAGAUAUCACGCAGAACUCCGAUUGCGAAGGCAGCUUACUAAGCUACAACUGACACUGAAGCACGAAAGCGUGGGGAUCAAACAGGAUUAGAUACCCGGGUAGUCC